GUCCAGCAUUUCCAGUUUGGAAUGGGGGAGUAUCAUCUAAUCUUGGAAGGAAAGCAGGGCCAGGCCUGGUUAGUCCUUGGACUGAAGACUGCCUGGGAAUACCAGUGCUGUAGGCU
Molecule: ribosomal RNA, 116 nt
Filed under: Chlorocebus sabaeus (green monkey)
Lineage: Eukaryota; Metazoa; Chordata; Mammalia; Primates; Cercopithecidae
Source: RNAcentral